AUUGCCUCAGUAACGGCGAGUGAAGCGGCAACAGCUCAAAUUUGAAAUCUGGCCCCAGGCCCGAGUUGUAAUUUGCAGAGGAUGCUUUUGGCGCGGUGCCUUCCGAGUUUCCUGGAACGGGACGCCAUAGAGGGUGAGAGCCCCGUCUGGUUGGACACCAAGCCUCUGUAAAGCUCCUUCGACGAGUCGAGUAGUUUGGGAAUGCUGCUCAAAAUGGGAGGUAUAUGUCUUCUAAAGCUAAAUACCGGCCAGAGACCGAUAGCGCACAAGUAGAGUGAUCGAAAGAUGAAAAGCACUUUGAAAAGAGAGUUAAAUAGCACGUGAAAUUGUUAAAAGGGAAGCGUUUAUGACCAGACUUGGGCCGGUUAAUCAUCCAGCGUUCUCGCUGGUGCACUUUGCCGGUCCAGGCCAGCAUCAGUUCGUCGCGGGGGAUAAAGGCGUCGGGAAUGUGGCUCCUCGGAGUGUUAUAGCCCUUCGCGCAAUACCCUGCGGUGGACUGAGGUUCGCGCUCUGCAAGGAUGCUGGCGUAAUGGUCAUCAACGACCCGUCUUGAAACACGGACCAAGGAGUCGUCUUCGUAUGCGAGUGUUCGGGUGUAAAACCCCUACGCGUAAUGAAAGUGAACGCAGGUGAGAGCUUCGGCGCAUCAUCGACCGAUCCUGAUGUUCUCGGAUGGAUUUGAGUAAGAGCAUACGGGGCCGGACCCGAAAGAAGGUGAACUAUGCCUGUAUAGGGUGAAGCCAGAGGAAACUCUGGUGGAGGCUCGCAGCGGUUCUGACGUGCAAAUCGAUCGUC
Molecule: ribosomal RNA, 795 nt
Filed under: Stachybotrys echinatus
Lineage: Eukaryota; Fungi; Ascomycota; Sordariomycetes; Hypocreales; Stachybotryaceae
Description: eukaryotic LSU rRNA
Rfam family: Eukaryotic large subunit ribosomal RNA
Source: RNAcentral